UUAAAAAAUACUGUUUGCAGUUGUUAAAUUCACAAUGAUAUAAAUUUAUCAAAAAUGUUAGCCGGAGCGUCAAAAAAUGAUGAAUUAGGACAGCCAGUUUCUUCAGAAUGGAGCUUAAAUUAUCAUCGACAAACAUUCCAGUACGUAGCGAUUCCGUUAAUUCAGAGUUAAGUAAAUCCGGGUAGCACUCGGUUAAAUUCUAGCCGUUGGACUGGAAAAAAGCUAAUCAAACAGUAGUUCUUUAUCUGGACAAAGUGUAAUCAGCGAGCCACCGGUCCUUCUUAGAGGUCUUGGAAUUUUUUACAAAGAAGUUAUUUCGCUAAAAUAAAUUGCUUCUAAUUAUA
This is a long non-coding RNA of Cotesia glomerata, 344 nucleotides long. RefSeq lists it as uncharacterized. The record is from RefSeq and is a predicted model, not a curated record. The transcript has 2 exons. NCBI's taxonomy places the organism in Eukaryota, Metazoa, Arthropoda, Insecta, Hymenoptera, Braconidae.